CAAGGCCGCCACCCUCAAUUUGCAUUACCAUUUAUUACUUGAUUCAUCUCUAUAUAUAUAUUUCUCUCUUUCUCUCUCUCUAUGUGUAACACAUGUUUAAUUUGAAACUUAAGAGCCCAAAACUUACUGAUUGUGAGAUAAAACAAUGUACUAAUCCACGUGAAAAAGAAGGUGGAGAAAAUCGAAACUCAGUAUCCAACAUCAUCGAUCAAGUACGAG
RNAcentral lists this long non-coding RNA (219 nucleotides) under Carica papaya (papaya). RNAcentral's name for it is "long non-coding RNA (CPAP_LNC002132)". The record is from RNAcentral. Lineage: Eukaryota; Viridiplantae; Streptophyta; Magnoliopsida; Brassicales; Caricaceae.